GACGAACGCUGGCGGCGUGCUUAACACAUGUAAGUCGAACGGCAAGGCCCUGCUUUUGUGGGGUGCUCGAGUGGCGAACGGGUGAGUAACACGUGAGUAACCUGCCCUUGACUUUGGGAUAACUUCAGGAAACUGGGGCUAAUACCGGAUAGGAGCUCCUGCUGCCUGGUGGGGGUUGGAAAGUUUCGGCGGUUGGGGUUGGAAUCGCGGCUUAUCAGUUUGUUGGUGGGGUAGUGGCUUACCAGGGCUUUGAAGGGUAGUCGGCCUGGGAGGGUGACCAGCCAUAUUGUGGCUGUGUAACGGCCCAGACUCCUACGGGAGGCAGCGGUGGGGAAUAUUGUUCAAUGGACGGAAGCCUGAUGCAGCAACGCCGCGUUCGGGAAGACGGCCUUCGGGUUUUAAACCGCUUUCGCCUAUGACGAAGCGUGAGUGACGGUAAUGGGUAAAGAAGCACCGGCUAACUACGUG
RNAcentral lists this ribosomal RNA (468 nucleotides) under uncultured bacterium. RNAcentral describes it as "partial 16S ribosomal RNA". It matches the Rfam family "Bacterial small subunit ribosomal RNA", at positions 28 to 507 of the family's 1533-position model. The record is from RNAcentral.